Molecule: long non-coding RNA, 557 nt
Filed under: Felis catus (domestic cat)
Lineage: Eukaryota; Metazoa; Chordata; Mammalia; Carnivora; Felidae
Description: lncRNA (ENSFCAG00000047655.1)
Source: RNAcentral
AUGUAUAAGGGCAAAACAUGUAAGCGUAUUCACUUCAGUUGCUUCUUGAUUCACAGAUAUCUUCUUUUCCUUAAACUAUACUUCCAGGUUUGGAGCCAGAUGCAAAAGCAAAAGCAAGACAAAAAGCGCCCAAAAUCCAUAGGAAUCUCUAGAGAAAUGAAAGCUGCAGUUUGCUGAAGUGCUGCCCCCGUUUCCCUGCUUUACAACUGCCUUAGCAAGAAAGAAAAAGAGGAGGAGGAAACAGAAGAAAGAAGAGGAAGAAGUCCCGAAUACCUCACAAGGCUCAGGUCAGUUGGCACCUGUUGUAAACAUUUCUCUGGCCUUCUCUCUUCUCCUUCCUGGGAGAAGAAUUGAUUACUCUGAUUUCUGCGUUUUCAUUAUGUUCUUAUUCCUACUUCCUUUACUGUUUAUAUCACUUUUCAUAGCCAUUUACAGGAUUCACUAAACUAUGACCUGCCCAAGCGUUGAGGUGAUACCAUAUUUUGUUGAUAUUUCUACUAGAAAUACUACACUGUAGAGUUCUAAAAGUUUGGUGUGUGAAUAACAAGAGACUGCUU